Molecule: ribosomal RNA, 350 nt
Filed under: Escherichia coli
Lineage: Bacteria; Pseudomonadati; Pseudomonadota; Gammaproteobacteria; Enterobacterales; Enterobacteriaceae
Description: bacterial SSU rRNA
Rfam family: Bacterial small subunit ribosomal RNA
Source: RNAcentral
AAAUUGAAGAGUUUGAUCAUGGCUCAGAUUGAACGCUGGCGGCAGGCCUAACACAUGCAAGUCGAACGGUAACAGGAAGAAGCUUGCUUCUUUGCUGACGAGUGGCGGACGGGUGAGUAAUGUCUGGGAAACUGCCUGAUGGAGGGGGAUAACUACUGGAAACGGUAGCUAAUACCGCAUAACGUCGCAAGACCAAAGAGGGGGACCCUCGGGCCUCUUGCCAUCGGAUGUGCCCAGAUGGGAUUAGCUUGUUGGUGGGGUAACGGCUCACCAAGGCGACGAUCCCUAGCUGGUCUGAGAGGAUGACCAGCCACACUGGAACUGAGACACGGUCCAGACUCCUACGGGAG